UACGUAGGGUGCGAGCGUUAAUCGGAAUUACUGGGCGUAAAGCGUGCGCAGGCGGUGAUGUAAGACAGUUGUGAAAUCCCCGGGCUCAACCUGGGAACUGCAUCUGUGACUGCAUCGCUGGAGUGCGGCAGAGGGGGAUGGAAUUCCGCGUGUAGCAGUGAAAUGCGUAGAUAUGCGGAGGAACACCGAUGGCGAAGGCAAUCCCCUGGGCCUGUACUGACGCUCAUGCACGAAAGCGUGGGGAGCAAACAGG
Molecule: ribosomal RNA, 253 nt
Filed under: uncultured bacterium
Lineage: Bacteria
Description: partial 16S ribosomal RNA
Rfam family: Bacterial small subunit ribosomal RNA
Source: RNAcentral